GACGAACGCUGGCGGCGUGCUUAACACAUGCAAGUCGAACGGAAAGGCCCUGCUUUUUUGGGGUGCUCGAGUGGCGCAGGGGUGUGUAACACGGGAGUAACCUUCCCUUGGGUUUGGGAUAACUUCAGGCAACUGGGGCUAAUACCGGCUAGGUGCUCCUGCUGGAGGGGGGUGGUCGGAAAGUUUGGGCGGAUUGGGAUGGACUGGGGGUUUAUCAGCUUGUUGGUGGGUUAGUGGCUUACCAAGGCUUUGGGGGGUAGCCGGCAUGAGAGGGUGACCGGCCACAUUGGGACUGAGAUAGGGACCAGAGUCCUACGGGAGGCAGCAGUGGGGAAUCUUGCACAAUGGGCGGAAGCCUGAUGCAGCAGCGCCGCGUGCGGGAUGACGGCCUUCGGGUUAUAAACCGCUUUAGCCUGUGACGAAGCGUGAGUGACGGUAAUGGGUAAAGAAGCACCGGCUAACUACGUG
This 468-nucleotide ribosomal RNA is filed under the name uncultured bacterium. RNAcentral's name for it is "partial 16S ribosomal RNA". It matches the Rfam family "Bacterial small subunit ribosomal RNA", at positions 28 to 507 of the family's 1533-position model. The record is from RNAcentral.